Molecule: ribosomal RNA, 1408 nt
Filed under: Sorghum grassy shoot phytoplasma variant II
Lineage: Bacteria; Bacillati; Mycoplasmatota; Mollicutes; Acholeplasmatales; Acholeplasmataceae
Description: bacterial SSU rRNA
Rfam family: Bacterial small subunit ribosomal RNA
Source: RNAcentral
UAACCUGCCUUUAGGACGAGGAUAUCAAUUGGAAACAGUUGCUAAGACUGGAUAGGAAAUAAAAAGGCAUCUUUUUAUUUUUAAAAGACCUUUUUCGGAAGGUAUGCUUUAAAGAGGGGCUUGCGGCACAUUAGUUAGUUGGUAGGGUAAAGGCCUACCAAGACUAUGAUGUGUAGCUGGACUGAGAGGUUGAACAGCCACAUUGGGACUGAGACACGGCCCAAACUCCUACGGGAGGCAGCAGUAGGGAAUUUUCGGCAAUGGAGGAAACUCUGACCGAGCAACGCCGCGUGAACGAUGAAGUAUUUCGGUAUGUAAAGUUCUUUUAUUGAAGAAGAAAAAAUAGUGGAAAAACUAUCUUGACGCUAUUCAAUGAAUAAGCCCCGGCAAACUAUGUGCCAGCAGCCGCGGUAAUACAUAGGGGGCGAGCGUUAUCCGGAAUUAUUGGGCGUAAAGGGUGCGUAGGCGGUUUAAUAAGUCUAUAGUUUAAUUUCAGUGCUUAACACUGUCCUGCUAUAGAAACUAUUAAACUAGAGUGAGAUAGAGGCAAGUGGAAUUCCAUGUGUAGCGGUAAAAUGCGUAAAUAUAGGAGGAACACCAGAGGCGUAGGCGGCUUGCUGGGUCUUUACUGACGCUGAGGCACGAAAGCGUGGGGAGCAAACAGGAUUAGAUACCCUGGUAGUCCACGCCGUAAACGAUGAGUACUAAGUGUCGGGGUUACUCGGUACUGAAGUUAACACAUUAAGUACUCCGCCUGAGUAGUACGUACGCAAGUAUGAAACUUAAAGGAAUUGACGGGACUCCGCACAAGCGGUGGAUCAUGUUGUUUAAUUCGAAGAUACACGAAAAACCUUACCAGGUCUUGACAUACUCUGCAAAGCUAUAGCAAUAUAGUGGAGGUUAUCAGGGAUACAGGUGGUGCAUGGUUGUCGUCAGCUCGUGUCGUGAGAUGUUAGGUUAAGUCCUAAAACGAGCGCAACCCUUGUCACUAGUUGCCAGCAUGUUAUGAUGGGCACUUUAGUGAGACUGCCAAUGAAAAAUUGGAGGAAGGUGAGGAUCACGUCAAAUCAUCAUGCCCCUUAUGAUCUGGGCUACAAACGUGAUACAAUGGCUGUUACAAAGAGUAGCUGAAACGCAAGUUCAUAGCCAAUCUCAUAAAAGCAGUCUCAGUUCGGAUUGAAGUCUGCAACUCGACUUCAUGAAGUUGGAAUCGCUAGUAAUCGCGAAUCAGCAUGUCGCGGUGAAUACGUUCUCGGGGUUUGUACACACCGCCCGUCAAACCACGAAAGUUGGUAAUACUCGAAAACGGUAGCCUAACUUCUUCGGAAGAGGGAACCGUCUAAGGUAGGAUCGAUGAUUGGGGUUAAGUCGUAACAAGGUAUCCCUACCGGAAGGUGGGGAUGGAUCA